CGGGCGGGCGCGGGCUCCGGCGGGGGGUGCGUGAAGGCCGACUGGACUCUGAUGACAUGGAGGUUGCGGGACAGGGCUUCAGACCCUGGCUUCUCCCCAGUGGGAGAAAGGAGACCCUGGCGUGUGGGUGCUGAGUGCAACACCCAACUGUAGCCUAAGGGAAAGUAGGGUAACCUGCAGGAUAGAUGCAUUAAAGCUUUACUGCAGAAGGAUCCGAGUGUUCUGUGUCAUUCUUGCUGGCGAGACGAUCGCGCGGGACAUCUGGUGCCGAAACCCAGGAACUUGUUGACAUCGCCGGCGCCGCGGGAGACCCCUCGGAGGACGGGGCGGAUUCAGAACUGCAGGGAGGCCUCUUUGACCCUGAACACAUGAGAUAUGACAUCUACUCAGGACCCUACUCAGGACCCUUCCAUGGUAGAGAUUUUAGAGUAUGACAUUUAACAACAAAAAAGUGUUUUAUGACAGACAGACAUGCCAGAUUCUGACUGCACCCUGUAUCUCCUCCAAAAAAAAUGGAUGGCUGCAGAAAAACUUCCACCUGGAGGCCUGCUUUGGAUGUGACAAAGCCAGUCACAUAGCCUUUCACCUCUACUGCCUAGUCCCCGCCUGGAUUGGACAACAGGAUGCUGAGGGAACUGAUCGUCUCAUCCAGCCAAGACAGUAUAUCUUUCAGGUUCACUCAUCCUGCCUUGGUCAAGGCCAGGCCAUAGAGGGUCCUCCAGAUAAUGCCAGCACCUUCAUUAGCUCCUGAGACUUCACCAUUUGUACCACCUCUACAAGCUCAAAUGGGCACCUACCCAACAACUGAAAUCUGGUUUUAAAGGUCAUACCCCCCUCAUGUCUCCCUUGCCUCUUCUGUACAACCAGGAUACUUCUCCAUUCCAUUCACUCUGGCAGUUGUCACCUCUCCCAUGGCUAGCCCCAUACAUAGGGCCAAUGAUAACAAUCUACUUUUUUCUCCUUGGAACCUGCCUUCUCAGCUCCCUCAAGAAACAGACGCCUGAGGUCUACAGGCUGGCAGUUAACUGAAAACUUCUCCACCCAUACCUCCUGCUGAAUGUGAGCUCACCUACUCCAGACUUUCUCCCUCCCCACAUGGUCCCUUGUCAGCAGGAAGAAGCCAGAUUUAAACCGACGCCCCUAUACCCAAGGAGUCUGGGAUGUUUAGGUGGAAGCCAUACUGGCUUUACAAAGAGGUUGGAAUGGUUGGUAGCCCUGUCCCAAACCCGCCCUCAAAGUGCCAAGGGUGGUGUCCACUCCCUCACUUCAGUCCAGACUCCACCCCUAAAAUCCUAACCCAUCCUUCUAUUGGUGGCUCCACCCCCGGAGAGCAUUAAAAGCCCCCACCUCUGGAUUCACCUUGUGGUUUCUUGUUUUCUGUUCCCCUGGGGCCACCCAGGAAUUCUUUGCUCAGAUUAAACUUUGAUUUAUU
RNAcentral lists this long non-coding RNA (1432 nucleotides) under Cricetulus griseus (Chinese hamster). Its description in RNAcentral is "lncRNA (ENSCGRG00015030321.1)". Lineage: Eukaryota; Metazoa; Chordata; Mammalia; Rodentia; Cricetidae. The record is from RNAcentral.